Molecule: ribosomal RNA, 841 nt
Filed under: Kocuria palustris
Lineage: Bacteria; Bacillati; Actinomycetota; Actinomycetes; Micrococcales; Micrococcaceae
Description: bacterial SSU rRNA
Rfam family: Bacterial small subunit ribosomal RNA
Source: RNAcentral
CAUGCAGUCGAACGCUGAAGCACCAGCUUGCUGGUGUGGAUGAGUGGCGAACGGGUGAGUAAUACGUGAGUAACCUGCCCUUGACUCUGGGAUAAGCCCGGGAAACUGGGUCUAAUACUGGAUGCUACAUGUCACCGCAUGGUGGUGUGUGGAAAGGGUUUACUGGUCUUGGAUGGGCUCACGGCCUAUCAGCUUGUUGGUGAGGUAAUGGCUCACCAAGGCGACGACGGGUAGCCGGCCUGAGAGGGUGACCGGCCACACUGGGACUGAGACACGGCCCAGACUCCUACGGGAGGCAGCAGUGGGGAAUAUUGCACAAUGGGCGAAAGCCUGAUGCAGCGACGCCGCGUGAGGGAUGACGGCCUUCGGGUUGUAAACCUCUUUCAGCAGGGAAGAAGCCACAAGUGACGGUACCUGCAGAAGAAGCGCCGGCUAACUACGUGCCAGCAGCCGCGGUAAUACGUAGGGCGCAAGCGUUGUCCGGAAUUAUUGGGCGUAAAGAGCUCGUAGGCGGUUUGUCGCGUCUGCUGUGAAAGCCCGGGGCUUAACCCCGGGUGUGCAGUGGGUACGGGCAGACUAGAGUGCAGUAGGGGAGACUGGAAUUCCUGGUGUAGCGGUGGAAUGCGCAGAUAUCAGGAGGAACACCGAUGGCGAAGGCAGGUCUCUGGGCUGUUACUGACGCUGAGGAGCGAAAGCAUGGGGAGCGAACAGGAUUAGAUACCCUGGUAGUCCAUGCCGUAAACGUUGGGCACUAGGUGUGGGGGGACAUUCCACGUUUUCCGCGCCGUAGCUAACGCAUUAAGUGCCCCGCCUGGGGAGUACGGCCGCAAGGCUAAAACUC